GUGCAGCUCCUAGACAAUACCAUGCGAAGUAUGCCUUUGUAUACUGAGCUCAGCGCUUCUGCUGUUGGGUUCAAUGACCUUAUCGAUGCCAAGACCAAUAAACAGAGCAUCGAGGAGAAGACGUCGAAUUUGCGCAGAACCAAGAGUGACCAUACUGAUUUCACUACUACAGCGGAUGAAUUUGGCGUGAAAGGAAGUCUCAACGCCAAGUCAUCGGUGGU
Molecule: unclassified non-coding RNA, 221 nt
Filed under: Hevea brasiliensis (rubber tree)
Lineage: Eukaryota; Viridiplantae; Streptophyta; Magnoliopsida; Malpighiales; Euphorbiaceae
Source: RNAcentral